UUAAGCGACUAAGCGUACACGGUGGAUGCCCUGGCAGUCAGAGGCGAUGAAGGACGUGCUAAUCUGCGAAAAGCGUCGGUAAGGUGAUAUGAACCGUUAUAACCGGCGAUGUCCGAAUGGGGAAACCCAGUGCAAUUCGUUGCACUAUCGUUAACUGAAUACAUAGGUUAACGAGGCGAACCGGGGGAACUGAAACAUCUAAGUACCCCGAGGAAAAGAAAUCAACCGAGAUUCCCCCAGUAGCGGCGAGCGAACGGGGAGCAGCCCAGAGUCUGAAUCAGCUUGUGUGUUAGUGGAACGGUCUGGAAAGUCCGACGGUACAGGGUGAUAGUCCCGUACACCAAAAUGCACAGGCUGUGAACUCGAAGAGUAGGGCGGGACACGUGGUAUCCUGUCUGAAUAUGGGGGGACCAUCCUCCAAGGCUAAAUACUCCUGACUGACCGAUAGUGAACCAGUACCGUGAGGGAAAGGCGAAAAGAACCCCGGCGAGGGGAGUGAAAAAGAACCUGAAACCGUGUACGUACAAGCAGUGGGAGCACCUUCGGGUGUGACUGCGUACCUUUUGUAUAAUGGGUCAGCGACUUAUAUUCUGUAGCAAGGUUAACCGUAUAGGGGAGCCGCAGGGAAACCGAGUCUUAACUGGGCGUUAAGUUGCAGGGUAUAGACCCGAAACCCGGUGAUCUAGCCAUGGGCAGGUUGAAGGUUGGGUAACACUAACUGGAGGACCGAACCGACUAAUGUUGAAAAAUUAGCGGAUGACUUGUGGCUGGGGGUGAAAGGCCAAUCAAACCGGGAGAUAGCUGGUUCUCCCCGAAAGCUAUUUAGGUAGCGCCUCGUGAACUCAUCUUCGGGGGUAGAGCACUGUUUCGGCUAGGGGGUCAUCCCGACUUACCAACCCGAUGCAAACUACGAAUACCGAAGAAUGUUAUCACGGGAGACACACGGCGGGUGCUAACGUCCGUCGUGAAGAGGGAAACAACCCAGACCGCCAGCUAAGGUCCCAAAGUCAUGGUUAAGUGGGAAACGAUGUGGGAAGGCACAGACAGCCAGGAUGUUGGCUUAGAAGCAGCCAUCAUUUAAAGAAAGCGUAAUAGCUCACUGGUCGAGUCGGCCUGCGCGGAAGAUGUAACGGGGCUAAACCAUGCACCGAAGCUGCGGCAGCGACACUAUGUGUUGUUGGGUAGGGGAGCGUUCUGUAAGCCUGCGAAGGUGACCUGUGAGGGUUGCUGGAGGUAUCAGAAGUGCGAAUGCUGACAUAAGUAACGAUAAAGCGGGUGAAAAGCCCGCUCGCCGGAAGACCAAGGGUUCCUGUCCAACGUUAAUCGGGGCAGGGUGAGUCGACCCCUAAGGCGAGGCCGAAAGGCGUAGUCGAUGGGAAACAGGUUAAUAUUCCUGUACUUGGUGUUACUGCGAAGGGGGGACGGAGAAGGCUAUGUUAGCCGGGCGACGGUUGUCCCGGUUUAAGCAUGUAGGCUGGUUAUCCAGGCAAAUCCGGAUAAUCAAGGCUGAGGUGUGAUGACGAGGCACUACGGUGCUGAAGUAACAAAUGCCCUGCUUCCAGGAAAAGCCUCUAAGCAUCAGGUAACAUCAAAUCGUACCCCAAACCGACACAGGUGGUCAGGUAGAGAAUACCAAGGCGCUUGAGAGAACUCGGGUGAAGGAACUAGGCAAAAUGGUGCCGUAACUUCGGGAGAAGGCACGCUGGUGUGUAGGUGAAGUCCCUGCGGAUGGAGCUGAGACCAGUCGAAGAUACCAGCUGGCUGCAACUGUUUAUUAAAAACACAGCACUGUGCAAACACGAAAGUGGACGUAUACGGUGUGACGCCUGCCCGGUGCCGGAAGGUUAAUUGAUGGGGUUAUCCGUAAGGAGAAGCUCUUGAUCGAAGCCCCGGUAAACGGCGGCCGUAACUAUAACGGUCCUAAGGUAGCGAAAUUCCUUGUCGGGUAAGUUCCGACCUGCACGAAUGGCGUAAUGAUGGCCAGGCUGUCUCCACCCGAGACUCAGUGAAAUUGAACUCGCUGUGAAGAUGCAGUGUACCCGCGGCAAGACGGAAAGACCCCGUGAACCUUUACUAUAGCUUGACACUGAACAUUGAGCCUUGAUGUGUAGGAUAGGUGGGAGGCUUUGAAGCGUGGACGCCAGUCUGCGUGGAGCCAACCUUGAAAUACCACCCUUUAAUGUUUGAUGUUCUAACGUUGGCCCCUUACCGGGGUUGCGGACAGUGUCUGGUGGGUAGUUUGACUGGGGCGGUCUCCUCCCAAAGCGUAACGGAGGAGCACGAAGGUUAGCUAAUCCUGGUCGGACAUCAGGAGGUUAGUGCAAUGGCAUAAGCUAGCUUGACUGCGAGCGUGACGGCGCGAGCAGGUGCGAAAGCAGGUCAUAGUGAUCCGGUGGUUCUGAAUGGAAGGGCCAUCGCUCAACGGAUAAAAGGUACUCCGGGGAUAACAGGCUGAUACCGCCCAAGAGUUCAUAUCGACGGCGGUGUUUGGCACCUCGAUGUCGGCUCAUCACAUCCUGGGGCUGAAGUAGGUCCCAAGGGUAUGGCUGUUCGCCAUUUAAAGUGGUACGCGAGCUGGGUUUAGAACGUCGUGAGACAGUUCGGUCCCUAUCUGCCGUGGGCGCUGGAGAAUUGAGGGGGGCUGCUCCUAGUACGAGAGGACCGGAGUGGACGCAUCACUGGUGUUCGGGUUGUCAUGCCAAUGGCACUGCCCGGUAGCUAAAUGCGGAAGAGAUAAGUGCUGAAAGCAUCUAAGCACGAAACUUGCCCCGAGAUGAGUUCUCCCUGAGACUUUAAGUCUCCUGAAGGAACGUUAAAGACGAUGACGUUGAUAGGCCGGGUGUGUAAGCGCAGCGAUGCGUUGAGCUAACCGGUACUAAUGAACCGUGAGGCUUAACCUU
RNAcentral lists this ribosomal RNA (2900 nucleotides) under Klebsiella pneumoniae. RNAcentral describes it as "bacterial LSU rRNA". It matches the Rfam family "Bacterial large subunit ribosomal RNA". The record is from RNAcentral. Lineage: Bacteria; Pseudomonadati; Pseudomonadota; Gammaproteobacteria; Enterobacterales; Enterobacteriaceae. RNAcentral also lists the same sequence under 2 other names.